RNAcentral lists this ribosomal RNA (468 nucleotides) under uncultured bacterium. RNAcentral's name for it is "partial 16S ribosomal RNA". It matches the Rfam family "Bacterial small subunit ribosomal RNA", at positions 28 to 507 of the family's 1533-position model. The record is from RNAcentral.
GACGAACGCUGGCGGCGUGCUUAACACAUGCAAGUCGAACGGAAAGGCCCUGCUUUUUUGGGGUUCUCGAGUGGCGAACGGGUGAGUAACACGUGAGUAACCUGCCCUUGACUUUGGGAUAACUUCAGGAAACUGGUGCUACUACCGGAUAGGAUCUCCUGCUGCAUGUUGGGGGUUUGAAAGUUUCGGCGGUUGGGGAUGGACUCGCGGCUUAUGAGCUUGUUUGUGUGGUAGUGGCUUACCAAGUCUUUGACGGGUAGCCGGCCUGAGAGGGUGAACGGGCACAUUGGGACUGAGAUACGGACCAGAAUCGUACGGGAGGCAGCAGUGGGGAAUAUUGCACAAUGGGCGGAAGCCUGAUGCAGCAACGUCGCGUGCGGGAUGACGGCCUUCGGGUUGUAAACCGCUUUCGCCUGUGACGAAGCGUGAGUGACGGUAAUGGGUAAAGAAGCACCGGCUAACUACGUG